GAUGAACGCUGGCGGCGUGCCUAAUACAUGCAAGUAGAACGCUGAAGCUUGGUGCUUGCACCGAGCGGAUGAGUUGCGAACGGGUGAGUAACGCGUAGGUAACCUGCCUGGUAGCGGGGGAUAACUAUUGGAAACGAUAGCUAAUACCGCAUGACAACAGUUAUUGCAUGAUAACUGUUUAAAAGGGGCAACUGCUCCACUACCAGAUGGACCUGCGUUGUAUUAGCUAGUUGGUGGGGUAACGGCUCACCAAGGCGACGAUACAUAGCCGACCUGAGAGGGUGAUCGGCCACACUGGGACUGAGACACGGCCCAGACUCCUACGGGAGGCAGCAGUAGGGAAUCUUCGGCAAUGGACGGAAGUCUGACCGAGCAACGCCGCGUGAGUGAAGAAGGUUUUCGGAUCGUAAAGCUCUGUUGUAAGAGAAGAACGAGUGUGAGAGUGGAAAGUUUACACUGUGACGGUAUCUUACCAGAAAGGGACG
RNAcentral lists this ribosomal RNA (485 nucleotides) under Streptococcus sp. oral taxon 074. RNAcentral's name for it is "bacterial SSU rRNA". It matches the Rfam family "Bacterial small subunit ribosomal RNA", at positions 28 to 495 of the family's 1533-position model. The record is from RNAcentral. Lineage: Bacteria; Bacillati; Bacillota; Bacilli; Lactobacillales; Streptococcaceae.